This 400-nucleotide ribosomal RNA is filed under the name uncultured bacterium. Its description in RNAcentral is "bacterial SSU rRNA". It matches the Rfam family "Bacterial small subunit ribosomal RNA", at positions 355 to 766 of the family's 1533-position model. The record is from RNAcentral.
UUGGGAAUAUUGGACAAUGGGGGAAACCCUGAUCCAGCAAUGCCGCGUGAAUGAUGAAGGCCCUCGGGUCGUAAAGUUCUUUUAGUAGGGACGAAGGGAAACUUGACUGUACCUACAGAAAAAGCACCGGCUAACUCCGUGCCAGCAGCCGCGGUAAUACGGAGGGUGCAAGCGUUGUUCGGAAUUAUUGGGCGUAAAGCGCGUGUAGGCGGCUAUGAAAGUCUGGUGUGAAAGCCCGGGGCUUAACCCCGGAAGUGCACUGGAUACUACAUAGCUAGAGGGUCAGAGAGGAAAGCGGAAUUCUUGGUGUAGGGGUGAAAUCCGUAGAUAUCAAGAGGAACACCGAUGGCGAAGGCAGCUUUCUGGCUGACAUCUGACGCUGAGACGCGAAAGCGUGGGU